UAGUCCACGCCGUAAACGAUGUCGACUUGGAGGUUGUGCCCUUGAGGCGUGGCUUCCGGAGCUAACGCGUUAAGUCGACCGCCUGGGGAGUACGGCCGCAAGGUUAAAACUCAAAUGAAUUGACGGGGGCCCGCACAAGCGGUGGAGCAUGUGGUUUAAUUCGAUGCAACGCGAAGAACCUUACCUGGUCUUGACAUCCACGGAAGUUUUCAGAGAUGAGAAUGUGCCUUCGGGAACCGUGAGACAGGUGCUGCAUGGCUGUCGUCAGCUCGUGUUGUGAAAUGUUGGGUUAAGUCCCGCAACGAGCGCAACCCUUAUCCUUUGUUGCCAGCGGUCCGGCCGGGAACUCAAAGGAGACUGCCAGUGAUAAACUGGAGGAAGGUGGGGAUGACGUCAAGUCAUCAUGGCCCUUACGACCAGGGCUACACACGUGCUACAAUGGCGCAUACAAAGAGAAGCGACCUCGCGAGAGCAAGCGGACCUCAUAAAGUGCGUCGUAGUCCGGAUUGGAGUCUGCAACUCGACUCCAUGAAGUCGGAAUCGCUAGUAAUCGUGGAUCAGAAUGCCACGGUGAAUACGUUCCCGGGCCUUGUACACACCGCCCGUCACACCAUGGGAGUGGGUUGCAAAAGAAGUAGGUAGCUUAACCUUCGGGAGGGCGCUUACCACUUUGUGAUUCAUGACUGGGGUGAAGUCGUAACAAGGUAACCGUAGGGGAACCUGCGGUUGGAUCACCUCCUU
RNAcentral lists this ribosomal RNA (741 nucleotides) under Escherichia coli. RNAcentral describes it as "bacterial SSU rRNA". It matches the Rfam family "Bacterial small subunit ribosomal RNA", at positions 791 to 1532 of the family's 1533-position model. Lineage: Bacteria; Pseudomonadati; Pseudomonadota; Gammaproteobacteria; Enterobacterales; Enterobacteriaceae. The record is from RNAcentral.